Schistosoma margrebowiei is the source of this 46-nucleotide non-coding RNA. The record is from Rfam. Lineage: Eukaryota; Metazoa; Platyhelminthes; Trematoda; Strigeidida; Schistosomatidae.
GCACUGCUGAGGAGUCCCACAAUAGGAUUAAACGACCGUCCAGUGC